CACUUAUCCAGAGAGACCGAGGGAACAGGCCCGACGACGUCCAGCAACCGCCGCAAGGAAAGGUGCUCCUUCCUGCAGAAUCAUUGUAUUCUGAAAGAUAAGCG
This 104-nucleotide non-coding RNA is filed under the name Alkalihalophilus pseudofirmus. RNAcentral describes it as "Bacillus pseudofirmus SAM-I sequence". It matches the Rfam family "SAM riboswitch aptamer (S box leader)". Rfam says of the family: The SAM riboswitch is found upstream of a number of genes which code for proteins involved in methionine or cysteine biosynthesis in Gram-positive bacteria. The SAM riboswitch acts at the level of transcription termination control. Lineage: Bacteria; Bacillati; Bacillota; Bacilli; Caryophanales; Bacillaceae. RNAcentral also lists the same sequence under 1 other name. The record is from RNAcentral.